RNAcentral lists this ribosomal RNA (346 nucleotides) under Aspergillus candidus. RNAcentral's name for it is "SSU rRNA". It matches the Rfam family "Eukaryotic small subunit ribosomal RNA", at positions 20 to 370 of the family's 1831-position model. Lineage: Eukaryota; Fungi; Ascomycota; Eurotiomycetes; Eurotiales; Aspergillaceae. The record is from RNAcentral.
GUAGUCAUAUGCUUGUCUCAAAGAUUAAGCCAUGCAUGUCUAAGUUUAAGCGAUUAAACGGUGAAACUGCGAAUGGCUCAUUAAAUCAGUUAUCGUUUAUUUGAUAGUACCUUACUACAUGGAUACCUGUGGUAAUUCUAGAGCUAAUACAUGCUGAAAACCCCAACUUCGGAAGGGGUGUAUUUAUUAGAUAAAAAACCAAUGCCCUUCGGGGCUCCUUGGUGAUUCAUAAUAACUUAACGAAUCGCAUGGCCUUGCGCCGGCGAUGGUUCAUUCAAAUUUCUGCCCUAUCAACUUUCGAUGGUAGGAUAGUGGCCUACCAUGGUGGCAACGGGUAACGGGGAAU